This is a long non-coding RNA of Panthera uncia (snow leopard), 2637 nucleotides long. RefSeq lists it as uncharacterized. Lineage: Eukaryota; Metazoa; Chordata; Mammalia; Carnivora; Felidae. The transcript has 3 exons. The record is from RefSeq and is a predicted model, not a curated record.
GUACCGCCUCACGAGCAUCCCUAAAUCAUGAUUAAUUUAAAGCCUUUUCUCUCCUUAGGCCUGACACAAGCAACCGCUUUUCUGUCACAUCGAUUUUUCUGUCCUUGCAGAUUCGAAGCCAGGGUUGAGUCCUCCUAACAGGGCGAGUUCUCUGACAAGGAAGUUUUGCAAGCAAAUUUACAGCUGGAGUCAAGCUCGUCAGUGAGGGCCAGAGGGGAACUGUCGCAAUCCACUGGUGACCAUGACUUAAUCCUGAAGGAAAACAAGUCUUUUCCCUUCUGGUCUCUGCGCUCUUGAAGGACAUUUGGGCCUGAAGUCCCAGGACUUAAGGCUGAUCCCGGCACAGAUGAGGACAGGAAGAGGUGAGUGAAUAAAUUUGGUCUUGAAUUUGAUAUUUUUAUCUCCCAUUGUUUGUGGGCCUGAUGUUCUCUAAUUUAUCAUUUGCUAUUUAAGAUGCCCAUACAUUCAAGGCAUCUUUUUAAAUAUGUCCCCACCUAUACAUGACAUAAUUACAUUAUUACCUUGUUAAAAAUCUUAUAGCUGUGCUGUGCAGCAGAAACACAAUGUGAGUUUUAAAUUUUCUAAUAGGCACAUUAAAAAAGUAAAAAGAAUAGUAUAGUUCAUUUAACUCAACAUAUGUAAAGCCUUGCCAUUUCAGCAAGUCAAUUAAUAUUAUUCAUUAACAGAAUUACUAAUGAGAUAACUUACGUUAUUUUUUUCAUAGUAGGUUUCUAAAAUCCAGUGUGCAUUUUAACUUAAUGGGCAUCUCAGUUCAGACCUACUUUUUUUUUUUUUAAUUUUUUUUAAUGUUUAUUUAUUUUUGAGAGAGAAAGACAGAGCACAAGCUGGGGAGGGGCAGGGAAAGAGGGAGACACAGAAUCUGAACCAGGCUCCAGGCUCUGAGCUGUCAGCACAGAGCCUCACACAGGGGUAGAACCCGCAAGCAGUGAGAUCAUGACCUGAGCCGAAGUCGGACACUUAACCGAAUGAGCCCCCCCAGGCACCCCAUUUCAGACCUGCUUUUGACUAUGAUGUAGAUUACUGCAUUUCAAGUCAACAAUGUGCACUUGUAACGGCUGUAUUUAGCACAGAGCUAGAGUUCACAUGUAGGUGUAGGCAACGUUUUCCCUGCCAUUAUGCACGUUCUCAACCCCUGUAAUUCAGAAAUAAUCCCAUCCUCAGUCCCCUGUAUGAAAGCUGGGUGACCAACCAUCCUGAUUUACCCAAGGGUUUUCUGGGACACAGGACUUGCAACUGUAAAGCCAACACAAUCUCAAGCAAAACCAAACGGCUUGUCAUCCCACGUGUAAACCAUGCCUGUCCAUCCACACAUUUUAUCCUCUUGGCCGCAGUGAGUGGAUCAGAUUUAGAACAUAUACACCUGCUGCCACUUAUGAGAUUUUGUGGGAACCACUGGGGAAAAGACCCUCACUUUCUGCAGUAGUUAUUAUAUUGAGCUUCAGCUAACCUUCUUUACAUCAUGAGGAGAGAGCCUGGUUGACAGAGAAACCAGUUCCUGGAUCCAGCCUUGCGUGAAGCUACUCUGCCCUUGAGCUUUUCAGUAAGACAAAAAAGGGGUUUUUUUUUGUUUUUUUUUUUUUAAGAAGCAAUGGAGAUCUGCUGUUUGUUCCUCUCCUGUCUCUUUCUCUCUAGCUCUCAGACCUUUGCCUUUGCUCACGUUUGCGAGUGCUUUGCUCCAUUGUAGUGACUCUCACGACGGAUCAUAAGUCUCAUUCUAGAUAUUGGAACAAUCUAAAGUUCAUGAGAUCUCCAACCCAUGGGCUAGGGACCCUUGGGAGAUUGUGGAGUUGUAAGGUCAGCAUCUGAAAAUCCGUCCAUCCAUUUACGUCUUCUUAAUCAAUGAAUACGAAAAGUGAAAUCAUUAGCAUGUGGAAAGAUAACACUUUUCGACAGCUCCAGGAGAAGACUGAGUAGGCAUUCAAUAGAUAUCAUCGAGCUACUACUAUAUAACUUGACAAGGUUAAGUGCCUUAUAUGAAGCAUUUAACACAUAUUAUAGCAUAGUAUUUAGACUGGACUAUUAUCCUUGUUGUUUUGACAUAGAAAAAUAAAUUUAUAUAUAUAUAUAUAUAUUCUUUAUUCACUAUUCAUUUAACACAUUUAUUUUUUAAACUAUUAUGUUCUCCAUGACUUUAACAUGUGGUGGAGAAAAUAAGCUUACAAAUAUAGCCUACGAAACCACGCAUGAGUAAAUAAAGAACUAGGAGACGCCACUGCAGAGGAGAGGACGAGAAGCACCUGAGGUCAGAGGUGGGAAUGGGUGCAGAAGGGACUCUGACACAAUCGGAGAAGCUCCCACAAGCAUGGUGCCUGAUGCCUAACACAGCAAAGUGUAUCUGCUCUAUUGCAAAUGUCUUUACCUUUUUCAGAUGAGAGUUCCAUUAUUUCACAAUGACAAAUUUUACUUUGUUUUUCUGCAUCAUGGUGACAUAAGGUCAUGUUCCCAGGGUUGUGGAAUCGAGCCCCACAUCAGGCUCCUCGCUGAAUGUGGAGUCUGCUUAAGAUUCUCUCUCUCUCUCUCUCUCUCCCUCUGCUUUUCCCCAACUCGAGUGUAUGCUCUCUCUUUCUCUCUGUCUCAAAAAAAAAAAAAAAAAAGUAUUUGAGGCUGGAGUUUCCU